UCUUCAUUGCUCUCACUCUCUCGCUGAUAAGAGUGACGAGAGAGUGUGCGAAAUGAAGAGA
RNAcentral lists this microRNA precursor (61 nucleotides) under Pristionchus pacificus. RNAcentral's name for it is "mir-8364 microRNA precursor family". It matches the Rfam family "mir-8364 microRNA precursor family". The record is from Rfam by way of RNAcentral. Lineage: Eukaryota; Metazoa; Nematoda; Chromadorea; Rhabditida; Neodiplogasteridae.